RNAcentral lists this ribosomal RNA (497 nucleotides) under uncultured bacterium. Its description in RNAcentral is "partial 16S ribosomal RNA". It matches the Rfam family "Bacterial small subunit ribosomal RNA", at positions 28 to 507 of the family's 1533-position model. The record is from RNAcentral.
GAUGAACGCUGGCGGCGUGCCUAAUACAUGCAAGUCGAGCGAACAGACGAGGAGCUUGCUCCUUUGACGUUAGCGGCGGACGGGUGAGUAACACGUGGAUAACCUACCUAUAAGACUGGGAUAACUUCGGGAAACCGGAGCUAAUACCGGAUAACAUGUUGAACCGCAUGGUUCAACAGUGAAAGACGGUCUUGCUGUCACUUAAAGAUGGAUCCGCGCCGCAUUAGCUAGUUGGUAAGGUAACGGCUUACCAAGGCAACGAUGCGUAGCCGACCUGAGAGGGUGAUCGGCCACACUGGAACUGAGACACGGUCCAGACUCCUACGGGAGGCAGCAGUAGGGAAUCUUCCGCAAUGGGCGAAAGCCUGACGGAGCAACGCCGCGUGAGUGAAGAAGGUCUUCGGAUCGUAAAACUCUGUUAUUAGGGAAGAACAAAUGUGUAAGUAACUAUGCACGUCUUGACGGUACCUAAUCAGAAAGCCACGGCUAACUACGUG